This 74-nucleotide transfer RNA is filed under the name Daldinia caldariorum. RNAcentral describes it as "tRNA-Val". It matches the Rfam family "tRNA". Rfam says of the family: Transfer RNA (tRNA) molecules are approximately 80 nucleotides in length. Their secondary structure includes four short double-helical elements and three loops (D, anti-codon, and T loops). The record is from RNAcentral. Lineage: Eukaryota; Fungi; Ascomycota; Sordariomycetes; Xylariales; Hypoxylaceae.
GGUCGCGUGGUGUAGUUGGUUAUCACGUCAGUCUAACACACUGAAGGUCCCCAGUUCGAGCCUGGGCGCGAUCA